GCGCUGGUAGCUCAGUUGGAUAGAGUACCUGGCUACGAACCAGGGGGUCGGGGAUUCGAAUUCUCCCCAGCGCGCCA
RNAcentral lists this transfer RNA (77 nucleotides) under Leucothrix mucor. Its description in RNAcentral is "tRNA-Arg". It matches the Rfam family "tRNA". Rfam says of the family: Transfer RNA (tRNA) molecules are approximately 80 nucleotides in length. Their secondary structure includes four short double-helical elements and three loops (D, anti-codon, and T loops). The record is from RNAcentral. RNAcentral also lists the same sequence under 1 other name. Lineage: Bacteria; Pseudomonadati; Pseudomonadota; Gammaproteobacteria; Thiotrichales; Thiotrichaceae.